RNAcentral lists this long non-coding RNA (219 nucleotides) under Elaeis guineensis (African oil palm). RNAcentral describes it as "long non-coding RNA (EGUI_LNC045686)". The record is from RNAcentral. Lineage: Eukaryota; Viridiplantae; Streptophyta; Magnoliopsida; Arecales; Arecaceae.
CCAAGGUAACACAAAUAGCUAACCACAACCUCCACCAAUUCAUGAUGUGCCUGGCCUUUUUAGCCAUGCUUAGGAAAGCUGCUUAACUUUAGUAUUCAAGCCUCCAAUGGUGCUUGAUCUACUCAUUCAACUAACUUAGUCAUCAAUUUGCUAACCACUUUAUCAAUAGUAGAAGGAGGAAAUAUUUGUCCAACUUAUCAUCAGUGAGACAAGAGGAAG